This 227-nucleotide ribosomal RNA is filed under the name uncultured soil bacterium. Its description in RNAcentral is "partial 16S ribosomal RNA". It matches the Rfam family "Bacterial small subunit ribosomal RNA", at positions 26 to 249 of the family's 1533-position model. The record is from RNAcentral.
AGAGUGAACGCUGGCGGCAGGCCUAACACAUGCAAGUCGAACGGCAGCACAGGAGAGCUUGCUCUCUGGGUGGCGAGUGGCGGACGGGUGAGGAUAACGUCGGAAUCUGCCUAUUUGUGGGGGAUAACGUAGGGAAACUUACGCUAAUACCGCAUACGACCUACGGGUGAAAGCGGAGGACCUUCGGGCUUCGCGCAGAUAGAUGAGCCGACGUCGGAUUAGCUAGU